This 494-nucleotide ribosomal RNA is filed under the name uncultured bacterium. RNAcentral describes it as "partial 16S ribosomal RNA". It matches the Rfam family "Bacterial small subunit ribosomal RNA", at positions 28 to 507 of the family's 1533-position model. The record is from RNAcentral.
GACGAACGCUGGCGGCGUGCUUAACACACGCAAGUCGAACGGUGAAGCGCCUUCCUUUUUGGUGGGUGUGGAUGAGUGGCGAACGGGUGAGUAACACGUGAGUAACCUGCCCCCUUCUUCUGGAUAACCGCAUGAAAGUGUGGCUAAUACGGGAUAUUCUGGGUCUGUCGCAUGAUGGGUCUGGGAAAGAUAUUGUUUCGGUGGGGGAUGGGCUCGCGGCCUAUCAGCUUGUUGGUGGGGUGAUGGCCUACCAAGGCGGUGACGGGUAGCCGGCCUGAGAGGGUGGACGGUCACACUGGGACUGAGACACGGCCCAGACUCCUACGGGAGGCAGCAGUGGGGAAUAUUGCACAAUGGGCGCAAGCCUGAUGCAGCGACGCCGCGUGAGGGAUGGAGGCCUUCGGGUUGUGGACCUCUUUCGCCAGUGAAGCAGGCCUGCCUCGUUUGUGGGUGGGUUGACGGUAGCUGGAUAAGAAGCGCCGGCUAACUACGUG